RNAcentral lists this ribosomal RNA (1254 nucleotides) under Eratyrus mucronatus. RNAcentral describes it as "16S ribosomal RNA". The stretch from base 563 to 1254 matches the Rfam family "Archaeal large subunit ribosomal RNA", at positions 1423 to 2807 of the family's 2987-position model. Lineage: Eukaryota; Metazoa; Arthropoda; Insecta; Hemiptera; Reduviidae. The record is from RNAcentral.
GAUUAUUUUUUUAUUUUAUUUAUGAUUUUUAUUUUUUUAUUAGAAAUAACUUUAUUUAUAGUAUAUUUUAUAGAAAUAAUAUUUAUUAUGAUAGUGGAAAGUACUGUGAAGGAUAUAAUUUAAUUAUUUAUAAGUAAUCUUAUUUUGGUGUACCUUUUGUAUCAGGGUUGAUUAAAUUAUUAUAUUUAUAUAUAUUUCCCGAAAUUAGGAGAGUUAAAAUUUAAAUGUUAAUUAGCGUGUCAAAGCUAUUGAUAAUUUGAUUUUAGUAAUGAAAUGUUAUUCGUUCUUAAAUAUCUGGUUUUCUUGGAAUUAAAUUUAAUUUAGGAUCUUAAAAGUAAGAGUAUUAUUUUAUUUUGUUUUAUUUUAAGUUCUAAUACUCUUGGGGAUAAGCUCGGGAGUAAAAAAUAUAAGUUAUAGUAUUGGAUUGAAUUUUAGUAGGCUUGAGAUCAGCCAUCAUUAAUUUCGUUAUAGAAUAUUUUCUGUUUAUGUUUUAUUUUUUAUUCUUUAAUUUUUUACUUGAAUAAUAAAAAGAAUUGUUUUAUUUUUGUAAUAAUGAUUAGAUUAGUAUUUUAGUUAAUUAAAUUAUAGGAACUCGGCAAAUUUAGUGUUCGCCUGUUUAACAAAAACAUGUCCUUUUGUUUGUUUAUUUAAGGUUUAACCUGCCCAAUGAGGAAUUGAAUGGCCGCAGUAUUUUAACUGUGCUAAGGUAGCAUAAUCAUUUGUCUUUUAAUUGAGGGCUGGAAUGAAGGGUUGGACGAAACAUUGACUUUCUUUAAUUUAAAAGGAGAAUUUAAUUUUUAAGUUAAAAAGCUUAAAUUAUUUUAUUGGACGAGAAGACCCUAUAGAUCUUUAUAGUUUAAUACUUUAACAAUUUAGAGAUUGUAUUUGAUUAAAUUAAGAGAAUUAUUUUGUUGGGGUGACUGUAGAAUUAAAAUAACUUCUAUUUAUAUAUAUCAUUUAUUGAUGUUUAUUUGAUCCAUAAUUUAUGAUUAAAAGAUUAAGUUACCUUAGGGAUAACAGCGUAAUUUUUCCGGAGAGUUCAUAUUGAUGGAAGAGUUUGCGACCUCGAUGUUGGAUUAAAAUUAGUUAUAGAUGCAGGAGUUUAUAAACUAGGUCUGUUCGACCUUUGAAUUUUUACAUGAUCUGAGUUCAGACCGGCGUGAGCCAGGUCAGUUUCUAUCCUUAAAAGAAUAAUACAUUUUAGUACGAAAGGACCAAUUGUAUGGAAUAAUUUUAUAAUAUUUGAUUAAUAUU